This 416-nucleotide small RNA is filed under the name Pongo abelii (Sumatran orangutan). RNAcentral describes it as "transcribed unitary pseudogene". The record is from RNAcentral. Lineage: Eukaryota; Metazoa; Chordata; Mammalia; Primates; Hominidae.
AUGUGGCUGGUCCUCCUCCUCCUGCCGUGACUGAGCCCCGGGAUGAAGACAGCUGCUCCCAACCCCAGCAACUUUGCUAUCUUAGAACGGAUCACCAGUGAAAGAGGGGAAGUUGCUACUGUGAUGAAUUCUGCCAUGUGGUACCAGACUGCUGCCCAGACCACAGUGUCCUCUGCAACCCUGGUAACUCACAUACAGGCCUGAUUCCACCUACAGCAAAGCUGGAUGCUAUGGUUGGCAGAGCUUCUCAGAUGACCAAGAUGGUGCUGCCGAUGGUGUUGAGGACGGAGAACCCACCAAGCCCCGUUAGGAGCCACCUAGACUGGAUGCAGAGCACAGUUCAGCGACUUCUCCAAACCAGCCUCCCAGGAAUGCUGUUCUCUAUGGCCGUGAGGGGAAUCAAGAAGAGAGCCUGA